This 311-nucleotide ribosomal RNA is filed under the name uncultured bacterium. RNAcentral describes it as "bacterial SSU rRNA". It matches the Rfam family "Bacterial small subunit ribosomal RNA", at positions 28 to 334 of the family's 1533-position model. The record is from RNAcentral.
GACGAACGCUGGCGGCGCGCCUAACACAUGCAAGUCGAACGAGCGAGAGAGAGCUUGCUUUCUCGAGCGAGUGGCGAACGGGUGAGUAACGCGUGAGGAACCUGCCUCAAAGAGGGGGACAACAGUUGGAAACGACUGCUAAUACCGCAUAAGCCCACAGGUCGGCAUCGACCAGAGGGAAAAGGAGCAAUCCGCUUUGAGAUGGCCUCGCGUCCGAUUAGCUAGUUGGUGAGGUAACGGCCCACCAAGGCAACGAUCGGUAGCCGGACUGAGAGGUUGGCCGGCCACAUUGGGACUGAGACACGGCCCAG